This 446-nucleotide ribosomal RNA is filed under the name uncultured bacterium. Its description in RNAcentral is "partial 16S ribosomal RNA". It matches the Rfam family "Bacterial small subunit ribosomal RNA", at positions 338 to 795 of the family's 1533-position model. The record is from RNAcentral.
CCUACGGGUGGCAGCAGUCGAGAAUCAUUCACAAUGGGGGAAACCCUGAUGGUGCGACGCCGCGUGGGGGAAUGAAGGUCUUCGGAUUGUAAACCCCUUUCAUGUGGGAGCAAAUUAAAAAGAUAGUACCACAAGAGGAAGAGACGGCUAACUCUGUGCCAGCAGCCGCGGUAAUACAGAGGUCUCAAGCGUUGUUCGGAAUCACUGGGCGUAAAGCGUGCGUAGGCUGUUUCGUAAGUCGUGUGUGAAAGGCGCGGGCUCAACCCGCGGUCGGCACAUGAUACUGCGAGACUAGAGUACUGGAGGGGGAACUGGAAGUCUCGGUGUAGCAGUGAAAUGCGUAGAUAUCGAGAGGAACACUCGUGGCGAAGGCGGGUGCCUGGACAUUAACUGACGCUGAGGCACGAAGGCCAGGGGAGCGAAAGGGAUUAGAUACCCCGGUAGUC